Molecule: ribosomal RNA, 208 nt
Filed under: uncultured bacterium
Lineage: Bacteria
Description: partial 16S ribosomal RNA
Rfam family: Bacterial small subunit ribosomal RNA
Source: RNAcentral
UGCGUAGGUGGUUUCUUAAGUCAGAGGUGAAAGGCUACGGCUCAACCGUAGUAAGCCUUUGAAACUGGGAAACUUGAGUGCAGGAGAGGAGAGUGGAAUUCCUAGUGUAGCGGUGAAAUGCGUAGAUAUUAGGAGGAACACCAGUUGCGAAGGCGGCUCUCUGGACUGUAACUGACACUGAGGCACGAAAGCGUGGGGAGGCAAAACA